AGUGUCUGGAUUUAUUGUCAGCAGAUGACAUGGAUCCCUAAGUGGACCAGUCCUUGGCUGGCCUUUCCUUCAGUUUCUGCUCCAUUCUUUCCCCCGGCAUUUCUUAUGACAGGAGGAAUUCUAGAUUAGUAGUUUGAGGUGGGUGUGUUGUCCCUCCCUCAACUAGGGGCCAUGUCUAUCCACUGGAUGUAGUCUCUUCAGGUUCUAUCUCCCCUUUGUUAGGUAUUUUGGCUAAAGUCUUUCCCUUUGGGCCCUGGGACUCUCGAGUGGCUACCCUCACUUCUCCUUACCCCACUGCUACACACCUUUCAAAUUAUUGACCCUCUGUACUUCUUUCCCAUCUUCUCCUAUAUCUAAACUGGUCCCCUUUUUGCUCCUCCUCCUCUCUCUCUUCCAGAAUCCUUUGGAUCUCUGCUUGUCAGAGAUUAUUCUCUUCCUCCUACUGGUUAGUACUGUAGCAUUUACACUUUGGUGUGAUCGUCUUUCUUCUUGGGUUUCAUAGGGUCUGUGAGUUGUAUCAUGGGCAUUUAAUCAUACCUCUCUCGUUGGUUGGUUUUAAUCAUAUCACAUCUUCAAUUUCCUAGGCAUUUUGUCACUAUUUGGCAUGAGCUCCCUUUCCUGGCAUGUGCCUCAAAUUAGAUCAGUCGUUAGUUGGCCACUCCCACAAGUUCUGCUUCUGCAUUGUGUCAGCACAUCUUGCAGUUAAGAUACAAAGUAGGACUCAAAUUUUGUGGAUGGAUUGGUGUCCCAGUCCAACCACCAGAAGCCUUGCUUGUUUACAGUCAAUGGCAUGCCCAGCCUUCAAAUUCUUCUUACCAGGCCUCCUAAUUGAUUCCUGGAAGUUUCUACUGCACUAGGUUUUUAUAUGGCCACUCAAAAUGCCUUUCAAUGACCUCAUACUCUCCUUUCAUUCUUCCCCAAUCACCUGAUCUCUUCUGUCCCCAUCCCUACCCACCCCAAAGAACAUUCCCCAAAAAUCUGUUCUAUUUCUUCUUUCUAAGGAAACCCAUGUGUCUCCCUUAGAGUCUUUCUUGCUAUAUAGCCUUUCUGGGUCUGUAGACGUAGCAUGAGUGUCAAUUACUUAUCAGUUAAAAUGAUCAAUGGGGGAAACUCAAAUGGCUGAGGAGCACACAAAGAGACGUUCAACAUCCUUGGCCGACAGGGAGAUACAAAUCAGUACUACUUUGAGAUUCCAUCUUAACAACUCUCAGGAUGGCUGAGGUUUCACCAUUAUCAAACUCUUGUGCAUUUGAUGCUUGCCUAUGGCGAGGCAGUGGCCCCUACUUGUUUAAGAUGGAGAAACAUCAGGACUACAUUAAGGAAGGAAUGUUUUAUUUAAAGCCUCCGUUGGUAACACACUACCCUAUUUCCCCUUACAAUUUGCUCACUCUAAUUGUUAAAACAUUUCCUGCUAUUUCUGAGCUGUGGAGACCACAAAAAUGUACAGAUGAUGCUCGACCAGGUCUACAUAGAGGAGCAAGUUUGUCUUUCAUCUGUCUUUUAAAAGUGUUUGAGACACUUCUUGGAUUACUUGUUCCUCUUUUACUACUACUUGUUAUUUAGAACUAACCUCCUUAAUGAUACAGGUUUUUAACUGAGUAGUUAGUGAGUCCUCAACGUUCGGAAAGUUUCGAGUGAAAUUCAGCAAGACAGAACACAGACAAGCAAACCCACCAGUAGAUGUAUAGGAAGAAAUGUAGCUGCAAAACUGAUUGCAGUGUGAACUGGGGAUUGUUGGACUCUAUUCCCUGAUUUAUAGUUCUAUUUUAAAGAAUGUAAAAUGCUAUCUCACUUUUAAAAUUUGGGGUAUCUGUUGUAAUUUAAUUUUCAAGGUGAAUUACAAACAAGGAGAAAUUCUUUUAUCAGAUAUUUAGAAACUAAUGGCAUUCUCGAUUAUUUGACAAAACUUUUAAGUACCUAAAUAACAUUAUUAAUCUUAACAGAAUCCAGUUCCAUUUCAGGCAUAAGAUUCUACUUCCGGAGAACAAUUACAUGUGUUAAGAUUUAACUAAAUUUUCCUACUGCCCUGCGUUCUCAAUUUUCUCUGUAUAUCUCAUAUCUCUCAGAGCUCCCAACAUGAGAAAUGAGAAAUGAAAGUAAAUCAAUACCCAGAUGUGUCAAACAUAUUUUAAUCAAGUUUCUCUGUGAAAGAAGACAAUUGUUUUGUGAAGCAUUCCGAACAUAAUAGACUUUAUGAUGGCAUGAAGGAUGAGCUCUGGGGUCCUAUUCAUGUUUGACAUUCUAUAAAGGGCUGAGAAAACACUUUUUGAAGGAAGAUCAACAAGAUAAAAAAGUUUCACACCUAAGUGAACUGAGAAAAUGCCCUCUGCUUCCUUCUGUGGUGUCAGGAAGAAAUUCAAACCGUACAUGCCCUUCUCCAAAAGCAUCUACCCCACUUAUUGUCUUGUGUAGCCACAAUGGGGAGGGGAAAAAUAAGGUUUGAAGCAAAACACACAGUAAGCCAAUAUUCCUGUUCAAAGUGUCACACCAUGAAAUGCCAUCAACAUUUCAAGUUCAGAAGAUGUUAUCGAGAUUUUUAAAUGACAACAAGACAGAAGUACCAUUCGGGGCAUAAGAAUUCCGGUAUUUGGAUUAUUGUUUCUUUUAAGAAAGUGAUCUAACGUGCAUCUCAUUUAUAUUUCAUGCAAUUUUUACAAAAUGUUUACUGACUCACAUUGAUUGAUUUUCAUGGCUGAAGUGUUGCAGAUAUUUCGUUAUUGUUUCCCUAUUAGUAUGAGAUAUGAGAUGUUUGCUGUUUACUUUUACCCAUUUCAUUUACUGUGCUUAUCAUUUAUCAUAUUGGUUUUAUUUACUUUUUAAUCAUUUUUCUUCUGUCUUGUUUUUUUUUAUUUAACCUGAAGUUUCCAAUAAUUACAUGAGUGUAAUGGUUAACUGUGGACACUAAUUUUACCACAGCGAAUAAUAUCUUCAACACUGAUAAAGCAUAAUUGUGAGUAGAAUUUUGAGGCUGUUUCCAGUGUUUGCCCUAUGAAGCUGAAUGGAAUAGGAGAGAGAAUAUGCUGUCAAGUAGCACUCAACAUUAAAUCAUCUGCCAAAGCCAAUAGCUUGUGGAAAUAUGUUAUUAUAGUCAUAUUUCAAUCAGCCAGUCUUGGCCCUGGAUAUUAGACCUCUAGGCCUGGAAAGGGAUCCAUAUCUAG
RNAcentral lists this small RNA (3158 nucleotides) under Rattus norvegicus (Norway rat). RNAcentral's name for it is "uncharacterized LOC102556510". Lineage: Eukaryota; Metazoa; Chordata; Mammalia; Rodentia; Muridae. The record is from RNAcentral.